This 330-nucleotide ribosomal RNA is filed under the name uncultured bacterium. RNAcentral's name for it is "bacterial SSU rRNA". It matches the Rfam family "Bacterial small subunit ribosomal RNA", at positions 18 to 344 of the family's 1533-position model. The record is from RNAcentral.
CAUGGCUCAGAGUGAACGCUGGCGGUAGGCCUAACACAUGCAAGUCGAACGGCAGCACAGGAGAGCUUGCUCUCUGGGUGGCGAGUGGCGGACGGGUGAGGAAUACAUCGGAAUCUACCUUGUCGUGGGGGAUAACGUAGGGAAACUUACGCUAAUACCGCAUACGACCUUCGGGUGAAAGUGGGGGACCGCAAGGCCUCACGCGAUUAGAUGAGCCGAUGUCGGAUUAGCUAGUUGGCGGGGUAAAAGCCCACCAAGGCGACGAUCCGUAGCUGGUCUGAGAGGAUGAUCAGCCACACUGGAACUGAGACACGGUCCAGACUCCUACGG